This 1203-nucleotide ribosomal RNA is filed under the name Thaxteriella inthanonensis. RNAcentral describes it as "partial 18S ribosomal RNA". It matches the Rfam family "Eukaryotic small subunit ribosomal RNA", at positions 61 to 769 of the family's 1831-position model. The record is from RNAcentral. Lineage: Eukaryota; Fungi; Ascomycota; Dothideomycetes; Tubeufiales; Tubeufiaceae.
CGGUUAAGCCUUUAUACCGUGAACUGCGAAUGGCUCAUUAAAUCAGUUAUCGUUUAUUUGAUAGUACCUUACUACAUGGAUAACCGUGGUAAUUCUAGAGCUAAUACAUGCUAAAAACCCCAACUUCGGAAGGGGUGUAUUUAUUAGAUAAAAAACCAAUGCCCUUCGGGGCUUCUUGGUGAUUCAUAAUAACUUAACGAAUCGCAUGGCCUUGCGCCGGCGAUGGUUCAUUCAAAUUUCUGCCCUAUCAACUUUCGAUGGUAGGAUAGUGGCCUACCAUGGUUUCAACGGGUGACGGGGAAUUAGGUAUGUUUCUUACCUAUUUUACUUUCAAGUCCGCCUACUAAUAGUCUAAUUACAGGGUUCGAUUCCGGAGAGGGAGCCUGAGAAACGUAAGUUUAAACCCCAUAAUUAAAUAAUUAUUUCUUUCUAUAUACUAAUAUUCUUUCUUUAGGGCUACCACAUCCAAGGAAGGCAGCAGGCGCGCAAAUUACCCAAUCCCGACACGGGGAGGUAGUGACAAUAAAUACUGAUACAGGGCUCUUUUGGGUCUUGUAAUUGGAAUGAGUACAAUUUAAAUCCCUUAACGAGGAACAACUGGAGGGCAAGUCUGGUGAACAUUUCAACAGUUCUAAAGCUGCUUGACGCCAGAGAUAGUAGGGCUUUUGUCGCCUAAUAAGUAACAAAAGUUAUGCCUGCUAGUCGAGCAUCCAUUUUCUCACGAUGGGCGGAUGCCGGCAAGGUAACCUGGUACGGGGAAGCCUAAGGGUAAAUGGUUCCUUUUUUAAGGGAGGCCCAAUUCUGCCUAUGGUAAUCCCGUGGCGAGCCUAAUUUAGUUCUACUUAUUAGCCGUCGUAACGCGCGGAAAGGUACCGGCUAUCAAAUAAAAAAAAUUGAUGGCUCAAGGGACGUGCUGUCCCAUUCGAAGGAUGCUUUAGCUGGAGCACUCAUCGUGUAAAGGCUUAAGGGGUUUACUUCACUAUAUGAGUACCUGGGCGCUAUCUAAUAGCACAAACAACGGCAGCAGCCGCGGUAAUUCCAGCUUCAGUAACGAUAUAAAAUGUCGAGUUAAAACUCGUAGUUAAACUUUGGGCUGCUGGUGUCCGCCUCAACCGGGUGUACUGUUCGGGCCGGACUUUCUCUGGGGAUCUAUGUCCCUUCCUGACGUGUUAGGAACACAGGACUUAACUUGGAAAAAAUUUG